GAUGAACGCUGGCGGCGUGCCUAAUACAUGCAAGUCGAGCGAACAGACGAGGAGCUUGCUCCUCUGACGUUAGCGGCGGACGGGUGAGUAACACGUGGAUAACCUACCUAUAAGACUGGGAUAACUUCGGGAAACCGGAGCUAAUACCGGAUAAUAUAUUGAACCGCAUGGUUCAAUAGUGAAAGACGGUUUUGCUGUCACUUAUAGAUGGAUCCGCGCCGCAUUAGCUAGUUGGUAAGGUAACGGCUUACCAAGGCAACGAUGCGUAGCCGACCUGAGAGGGUGAUCGGCCACACUGGAACUGAGACACGGUCCAGACUCCUACGGGAGGCAGCAGUAGGGAAUCUUCCGCAAUGGGCGAAAGCCUGACGGAGCAACGCCGCGUGAGUGACGAAGGUCUUCGGAUCGUAAAACUCUGUUAUUAGGGAAGAACAAAUGUGUAAGUAACUAUGCACGUCUUGACGGUACCUAAUCAGAAAGCCACGGCUAACUACGCG
RNAcentral lists this ribosomal RNA (497 nucleotides) under uncultured bacterium. RNAcentral's name for it is "partial 16S ribosomal RNA". It matches the Rfam family "Bacterial small subunit ribosomal RNA", at positions 28 to 507 of the family's 1533-position model. The record is from RNAcentral.